Molecule: ribosomal RNA, 468 nt
Filed under: uncultured bacterium
Lineage: Bacteria
Description: partial 16S ribosomal RNA
Rfam family: Bacterial small subunit ribosomal RNA
Source: RNAcentral
GACGAACGCUGGCGGCGUGCUUAACACAUGCAAGUCGAACGGAAAGGCCCUGCUUUUGUGGGGUGCUCGAGUGGCGAACGGGUGAGUAACACGUGAGUAACCUGCCCUUGACUUUGGGAUAACUUCAGGAAACUGGGGCUAAUACCGGAUAGGAGCUCCUGCUGCAUGGUGGGGGUUGGAAAGUUUCGGCGGGUGGGGAUGGACUCGCGGCUUAUCGGCUUGUUGGUGGGGUAGUGGCUUACCAAGGCUUUGACGGGUAGCCGGCCUGGGAGGGUGACCGGGCACAUUGGGACUGAGAUACGGCCCAGACUCCAACGGGAGGCAGCAGUGGGGAAUAUGGCACAAUGGGCGGAAGCCUGAUGCAGAAACGCCGCGGGCGGGAUGACGGCCUUCGGGUUGUAAACCGCUUUCGCCUGUGACGAAGCGUGAGUGACGGUAAUGGGUAAAGAAGCACCGGCUAACUACGUG